Long non-coding RNA from Symsagittifera roscoffensis, 543 nucleotides. RefSeq lists it as uncharacterized. The record is from RefSeq and is a predicted model, not a curated record. The transcript has 3 exons. NCBI's taxonomy places the organism in Eukaryota, Metazoa, Xenacoelomorpha, Acoela, Convolutidae.
GCAAAUAUCAGUUCCAUUUUGGCUAUUUCAAUAAAUAUUAACAUAUCAUUUCAACUAUGACAAUCUCAAAACUCAAGAUUUAUGUUGCGUUAUUUGCGCUGCAUAUUUUGACAGACAGCAUAAUUUUUUCAGCUCAAGACACAGAACAAACAAUGUUUGCACCCGCAGAAAAAUCAACUUCAUUAAUUAUCAAUGGAAUAAAAGCUAAUCAGAGACCCUUCUACGUCAGAAUUCUUUCAAACAGGAGCAAAAAAUUCUGUGGUGCAACUGUUAUUGAUUUCAAUUGGGUAGUAACCUCCGCAAACUGCAUUGCUAACAACAGCUUAGCGUGGCUUUCUGUGGAAAUUGGGGACUUUGCAAACCCGAGUAUGUUAAAAGUGAAAUUUGGCGUGGAAAAGGUCAUUUUAGCUGACAGUUUCAAACGCACUACUGGCAGACCUUACAACAAUAUCGCACUCGUCAAAAUGAAGCGACGACUCGGAUUUGGCCGAAUUUUGCCGAUGUGCCGAGAGUCUCCAGACUUAGGAAUCCAAAACUUUGUUU